Molecule: ribosomal RNA, 207 nt
Filed under: uncultured bacterium
Lineage: Bacteria
Description: partial 16S ribosomal RNA
Rfam family: Bacterial small subunit ribosomal RNA
Source: RNAcentral
UACGGGGGGGGCAAGCGUUGUUCGGAAUUACUGGGCGUAAAGGGCGUGUAGGCGGCCAACUAAGUCCGACGUGAAAUCCCCAGCUUAACCUGGGAACUGCGUCGGAUACUGGAUGGCUUGAAUCCGGGAGAGGGAUGCGGAAUUCCAGGUGUAGCGGUGAAAUGCGUAGAUAAUCUGGGAGGAACACCGGUGGCGAAGGCGGCAUCC